Gymnogyps californianus (California condor) is the source of this 2559-nucleotide long non-coding RNA. RefSeq lists it as uncharacterized. The record is from RefSeq and is a predicted model, not a curated record. The transcript has 5 exons. Lineage: Eukaryota; Metazoa; Chordata; Aves; Accipitriformes; Cathartidae.
CUCCAGUAUUGCAGCUGUCAGUAUUCCAGCAGUCUGUGUAUCACAAAGUUGUACAUCUCACUGUUUGUGGAAUUUCUUUUCUAAUGAUGAUAGUAUUUUAGUGACUUGACUUUUGUAGAUAUUAAUGGAAGUAGGUCUUGAGGAGUUUGGGUUUUUUUAAGCUUAAGUAGAGGUGCAUGACUUUUGAAGGGCAAGAAUUACUGAUAUUCUGCUAAAUUGGGUGAAUUGUGCACUCUUCUUUUUAACGAGAAGUGAAUGGAAGAUAUGGCAAACGAAGUACGUAUCACGCAUGAAGUUUUGGCUUGCUUAGAAUUGUGUGAUGAGUUCAUAAUGUGUUCUGUGCCUUUCCUAAUAAAGAUUGUAGCCCUUAAAUGCUCUGAGGGAUAGGCUACCUCCAGAAGAAUUUUUAAAAGAGUUUUUUAAAAAGUGUGUAUACUUGCAAUCAAAAUAAUCAGACCAGUGAAAUAAUGAUAGUGCCUGCGUUCUAUAAAAAUGCAGCUAUCAGUGACUACCAUAUUUUCCUGUAAUAGUUGGGGUUAGGUAGAUACUAGUUUUGAGUAAGAAAAGUUUUGAGGCGGCUGUUGAAGGGAUCAAGAUAGAAUUGAAGUGAUUCUGAAGUAUAACGUAUAUAACAUUCUUUUUGAAGUUGUGAAAAAAAACUUUGAGAGAGUUUUCUUACACACUGUAAACAGGAGCUUUAUGCAGUCUUUUGAUUGUCAGGGUGCAGAUUCUCAUUAAGGCUCUACUAGAAGAAAAUACAGUUUGAGUAGACUAUUUGUAGAUUCUGUUGUAUAGUGAAUGCAUUUUUACUUUUGUCUUGUGAAUGUCUUUGAGGGAGCCAGGCACUUUAGCUUGCUGCUUUUGCAGACAGCCAUAUCCUGUCUUGAACCACAGGAUCGAGGAUGUUACCCUCAGUCGUUUGUUCUUAGCAUCCUGAUGAGUCAGUAUUGACUGUCCAUGGUACGAACUGUCUGUGAGGGUUGGUAUUUCUACACCUGAUCGCUAUUGUGAAUAGUGAGGCGCUUGUACCUUCUGAGCAAGUUUACAAUACCUUGUUUUAUUCUUACGGGCUUUCUUGCAGUAGGAACAAUCAGCAACACUGCUGUUUCAAUGACGAUGAAUUUAACUUCUCCAUAAAUAUUGUCUUGAACUUAUCUUAAGGUUUUUCUUUCUCGGGGAUUUAAAGAAGUUAAAAAGUUUUGAGAAAAUAGUAGAAUUUUAAUGCCAGUGUCAUCAUAACUAAAACCAAACAAACAUACAGCUUUGAGAGCUUGACAGCAUCCUUAAAAAUUCUCUUGUUAGCAGUUAAAGCGUAUUUCUCUGUUAGCUAACUGUCUUGUACCAGAUUCAAGCUUCUGACAUCUCAAAUUUUAUUUCUUAAAUUUUGUUUAAAUCUUAACUAUGUUCCCAGGUGCUAUUCAGAAAGGGUGGGGGGGUGUGUAGAAUUUCAACUUCUGCUGCCCUUAGUAGCCAAUAUGUAUAAAUGGUUUUUGCUAACAGCAAUUUUGAAUUAGCAGAAAUUAAUGCCAUACAACCAAAGGAAGCUAAUUUCACUGUCUCCCAACUUAGGAAAUUAUGUAAUGCUUUGAGAUAAAGAUGUCAUGCAGAGCUUUUUUCUUUCUCUUUUUUUCGUUGAGUUACUUGCAUAUAUGUUACUUGCACUGAAUUCUUUAGCUUCUUUCCUGUAAAUUUUAGUGGAAGAAAAUACAUUUUGCUCUUUCAUUUGUAAAGUCUAGAAUAAGAAAACACACUUUAUGAGACUGUUUAAAUGAAGGAACCUGGCAAUGUAAGUAUUGUGAUUUCCUUUAUGUUUGUGGUAGGCAACAGGAUUACCUUGUUAAACUUCUGGCUUAUGUAUGAAAAAUAUCAGAAAAGUAAGGGCAAAUUGAAAGUAGUUUUAUAGUUGCCUUUACUUCAUAUGCUUUUCUUAAGCAACAAAUUGCAGUAAUUGAAGUUUGGCAGCUUUUUUAAUGAAAAACUAAAUUAUGGGUUAAACUCCUUGGUUUAAUACAAUUUGUGUUUCUGUUAACUAGCAGCAGAAUUUCAGCAUUUGCUACUUACUGGUAGAGAAGAAAAAUUCCACAGCACUGCCAGUACAGUUUUUGGCUGUGCCCAGGUCUUGGCCAGAGUUGGAAAAGCAAAUCAGACCUUGCUACUGUUAGAACUACAUCUUCAGGUGUCUGCAGCCCGGCCAGCUCCAUCCCUGCAGCUCAUGGUGGUACAACAGCGACACAGCCUCUGAAUUCAAGUGUAAAAGGAGCAGUCACCAGCGCAGCCAGCAUAAAAGGCAGUUGUGGGGCUCUCUGCAAGCUCCCUGCAAUAUCUGAAAGUACAAGGGUUGUAACUGAGGGAAGGUGACGAGCACUCACUCCCCAGGACCUUGGCAGGAGUAAGGUUGUGGAUUCUAUCACCUCAAACACUCACAAAGCUAGGAGAGACUGCAUGCAAGAUUUGAAGAAUGUCUACAGGAGUCCUUAGACCUGAAAGGAUAGAGAAGGCUUCGAUCAUCACAGGGUGGUUAUUUUGCAUCUAAGAGCAGAAGAAAACUUUUCAGAAUCA